AACGAACGCUGGCGGCAUGCCUAACACAUGCAAGUCGAACGAGACCUUCGGGUCUAUUGGCGCACGGGUGCGUGCCGCGGGGGAACCUGCCCUUAGGUUCGGUAUAACUCCCCGAAAGGGGUCCUAAUACCGGUUAAUCUCUUCGGACCAAAGAUUUAUCGCCUUUGGAUGGGCGCGCGUUAGUUUAGCUAGUUGGUAGUGUAAAAGCAUGCCAAGGCGAGGAUCCAGAGCUGGUCGGAGAGCAUGACCAGCCACGCUGGGAAUGAGACACGGCCCAGAAUGCUACGGGAGGCAGCAGAAUGGAAUAUUGUGGGAGGGGCGAUAGCCUGAUAACGCAAUGCCGCGUAUGUGAUGAAGGCGGUAGGGUUGUAAAGCUGUUUUAGCCGAGGUGAUAAUGACAGUACCGGGUGAAUAAGCACCGGCUAACUACGUG
This 433-nucleotide ribosomal RNA is filed under the name uncultured bacterium. RNAcentral's name for it is "partial 16S ribosomal RNA". It matches the Rfam family "Bacterial small subunit ribosomal RNA", at positions 29 to 507 of the family's 1533-position model. The record is from RNAcentral.